Macrostomum lignano is the source of this 304-nucleotide non-coding RNA. NCBI's taxonomy places the organism in Eukaryota, Metazoa, Platyhelminthes, Macrostomidae. The record is from Rfam.
GUUUGCAGGUUAUCCCGUGGCCUGAGUGGUAGAAGCAAAGCUACUGCUAGUCACUAUUAGUGGCAACAUCUCCAAAUUGCGUGAAACCCGUCAUACAACUUCAAGUACCACUUCAGUUGAGAAAUCUUCUGAAGGAACACAGGUAACUCCUGUUCCCAAUGGUAAAAAGCUUGAAGACAUGGUGGCAAUGCGCAGCCAAGCUCCUAAGUAUUUUAAAUAUAAGGAGAAGGUUCAGAGAGCAGACGGAGAUGGGCGGUAAUCAUCGCCGCUUAAGGUGUGCUCCAGCCUCAUUCGAAAGAUUGAG